UACAGAGGUGGCAAGCGUUGUUCGGAAUUACUGGGCGUAAAGGGCGCGUAGGCGGCCUUCUAAGUCAGACGUGAAAUCCCCAGGCUUAACUUGGGAACUGCGUCUGAUACUGGGAGACUUGAAUGCGGGAGAGGGAUGUGGAAUUCCAGGUGUAGCGGUGAAAUGCGAAGAUAUCUGGAGGAACACCGGUGGCGAAGGCGGCAUCCUGGACCGACAUUGACGCUGAGGCGCGAAAGCCAGGGGAGCAAACGGG
Molecule: ribosomal RNA, 253 nt
Filed under: uncultured bacterium
Lineage: Bacteria
Description: partial 16S ribosomal RNA
Rfam family: Bacterial small subunit ribosomal RNA
Source: RNAcentral